This 434-nucleotide long non-coding RNA is filed under the name Sorghum bicolor (sorghum). RNAcentral describes it as "long non-coding RNA (SBIC_LNC013251)". The record is from RNAcentral. Lineage: Eukaryota; Viridiplantae; Streptophyta; Magnoliopsida; Poales; Poaceae.
UGAAGGGAAGUAAAUAGGUGUUGCACUGGAUUCUGGAAUACUCCAAUCACUGGGGCUUACUGUAGGACCUUGAGGCCCAGGUGAGUUUGUAGUAGGCCAUUGCAUCGUUGGGUUAAAGAGUGGACUCUCCAUUGCGAUGGACUCACUAUUUAAGGUGUGCCUCUGCACUUCCCUAAAACGAUUUCUAGUAACCUUCAUUACCUCUUUACGAGAUGGAGUUUGAUUGUAGAGCCUCUGUUGAUUUUUCCUUUGUUCCCGUUGUGCAGGCAUCAUGUUUGCAUGUCUAUUUCUACAUAAUGCACGAUAAGCCAUGAUUUUAUCUUGACUGCACCGUGAUUUCAUUUGAUGGUUCGUAAGUAUACUGCGAGCAAUAAUUGCCUCACCACCUACAUAAUUGUGUUUGGGUUAAAAUAAUAGCAAUACAACCAGAACAC